GAGACGCUGGCGGCGUGCCUAACACAUGCAAGUCGAACGGGGUGUUCCUUCGGGGACACUUAGUGGCGAACGGGUGAGUAACGCGUGAGAAACCUGCCUCUCAGUGGGGGACAACAGUUGGAAACGACUGCUAAUACCGCAUAAUGUUAUCGGGUCGCAUGAUCUGAUAACCAAAGCUUUAUGUGCUGAGAGAUGGUCUCGCGUCUGAUUAGCUAGAUGGCGGGGUAACGGCCCACCAUGGCGACGAUCAGUAGCCGGUCUGAGAGGUUGAACGGCCACAUUGGGACUGAGACACGGCCCAAACUCCUACGGGAGGCAGCAGUAGGGAAUUUUCGGCAAUGGGGGAAACCCUGACCGAGCAACGCCGCGUGAGUGAAGACGGCCUUCGGGUUGUAAAGCUCUGUUGUAAAGGAAGAAAGGCAUGGAUAGAAUCCAUGAGUGACGGUACUUUACCAGAAAGCCACGGCUAACUACGUG
RNAcentral lists this ribosomal RNA (477 nucleotides) under uncultured bacterium. RNAcentral describes it as "bacterial SSU rRNA". It matches the Rfam family "Bacterial small subunit ribosomal RNA", at positions 33 to 507 of the family's 1533-position model. The record is from RNAcentral.